Molecule: long non-coding RNA, 636 nt
Organism: Thamnophis elegans (Western terrestrial garter snake)
Lineage: Eukaryota; Metazoa; Chordata; Lepidosauria; Squamata; Natricidae
Exons: 2
Source: RefSeq, a predicted model, not a curated record
UCACCAGGCUCAAGGUUGACUCAGCCUUCCAUCCAUCUGAGGUUGGAAGAGGAAUCAAGAUACCCUUGUAAUUCCAUGAUUGCUUGUGCUGGAGGAGAAGGAACAAUUUUAUGAACAAGGAUUUCUUAUUUUGAGUAGAAAGAUUCAUGCAAAAACCACAGUUCUCAAAUACAUAAGCAAAUGACAAAUCUGAAAGGGCACAGGCUCUGUUUGGACUUCAAAAUAAGACGUUUGAUUAUGAAUAAUGGUCUAAUCACACAGUCCUACCAGGCUGUAUGCUUCAGGCCUAAUUGUAAUCAUUAUUUUUAAGCAGUUAGAAUUACUUGGCCUUCAUGUCCUACAAAACUAGCAAAGCAGACUGUCAAUUGCCAGCAAUACCAAAUAUCUGUCAUAUUGAUUAAGAAGAAAGAACGUGUAGGAUUUUAGUUAGAUAUGGGUAUUAGCCUGAAACUUUCACCUUGAAAUAUGAUUCCAUUCUUUCUUCUUUGCUAAACAGAUUUUUUUUUUAAAAAAUAAUAAUUUCGCCUUCUAUUGAUCACAGCGCUACUCUCUCAAACUGAUUCUGCACUAAUAUUCAUUUGAAUAAGGAACGAAAAGCGGCAGACUAGCCUGGCCUUUCUCAUGAACAUGUCUGAA